RNAcentral lists this unclassified non-coding RNA (233 nucleotides) under plant metagenome. RNAcentral's name for it is "partial contains small subunit ribosomal RNA, internal transcribed spacer 1, and 5.8S ribosomal RNA". The record is from RNAcentral.
UUUCCGUAGGUGAACCUGCGGAAGGAUCAUUAUUGGAUUUUGAACCUUCAGGCUGCUGCUGGCUCUCCUCGGAGGGCAUGUGCACGCUUGUUGUCCAUUAUUUCUCCCACUGUGCACAAAUUGUAGACCUUUCAGUAGGCCUAUGUUGUUUUUCACAAUCUCUGAAUGUAAUAGAAUGGUUUUGAAUCUUGGGAAAUACAAUACAACUUUCAGCAACGGAUCUCUUGGCUCUC